RNAcentral lists this ribosomal RNA (253 nucleotides) under uncultured bacterium. Its description in RNAcentral is "partial 16S ribosomal RNA". It matches the Rfam family "Bacterial small subunit ribosomal RNA", at positions 524 to 776 of the family's 1533-position model. The record is from RNAcentral.
UACGGGGGGGGCAAGCGUUGUUCGGAUUCAUUGGGCGUAAAGGGUGUGUAGGUGGCGCCGUAAGUCGGGUGUGAAAUCUCACAGCUUAACUGUGAAACUGCCUUUGAUACUGCAGAUCUUGAGUUCGGGAGAGGUUGAUGGAAUUCCAGGUGUAGCGGUGAAAUGCGUAGAUAUCUGGAAGAACACCAGUGGCGAAGGCGGUCAACUGGCCCGUAACUGACGCUCAGGCACGAAAGCGUGGGUAGCAAACAGG